CUCUCGGGGUUACAGCCUUGCUGAAUUAUUCACCCUUGUCUUUUGCGUACUUCUUGUUUCCUUGGUGGGUUCGCCCACCACUAGGACAAACAUAAACCUUUUGUAAUUGCAAUCAGCGUCAGUAACAAAUUAAUAAUUACAACUUUCAACAACGGAUCUCUUGGUUCUGGCAUCGAUGAAGAACGCAGCGAAAUGCGAUAAGUAGUGUGAAUUGCAGAAUUCAGUGAAUCAUCGAAUCUUUGAACGCACAUUGCGCCCUUUGGUAUUCCAAAGGGCAUGCCUGUUCGAGCGUCAUUUGUACCCUCAAGCUUUGCUUGGUGUUGGGCGUCUUGUCUCUAGCUUUGCUGGAGACUCGCCUUAAAGUAAUUGGCAGCCGGCCUACUGGUUUCGGAGCGCAGCACAAGUCGCACUCUCUAUCAGCAAAGGUCUAGCAUCCAUUAAGCCUUUUUUUCAACUUUUGACCUCGGAUCAGGUAGGGAUACCCGCUGAACUUAAGC
Molecule: small RNA, 497 nt
Filed under: Alternaria alternata
Lineage: Eukaryota; Fungi; Ascomycota; Dothideomycetes; Pleosporales; Pleosporaceae
Description: eukaryotic LSU rRNA
Rfam family: 5.8S ribosomal RNA (bases 141-294)
Source: RNAcentral